AUGGCAUCAUGAGUCCGCAUGUUCACAGUGAUUAAAGGGUAUUCCGGUAGACGAUGGGGAUGCGUUCCAUUAGAUAGUAGGCGGGGUAACGGCCCACCUAGUCUUCGAUGGAUAGGGGUUCUGAGAGGAAGGUCCCCCACAUUGGAACUGAGACACGGUCCAAACUCCUACGGGAGGCAGCAGUGGGGAAUAUUGGUCAAUGGACGAGAGUCUGAACCAGCCAAGUAGCGUGCAGGAAGACGGCCCUAUGGGUUGUAAACUGCUUUUAUAAGGGAAUAAAGUGAGUCUCGUGAGACUUUUUGCAUGUACCUUAUGAAUAAGGACCGGCUAAUUCCGUG
This 338-nucleotide ribosomal RNA is filed under the name uncultured bacterium. Its description in RNAcentral is "bacterial SSU rRNA". It matches the Rfam family "Bacterial small subunit ribosomal RNA", at positions 173 to 507 of the family's 1533-position model. The record is from RNAcentral.